Molecule: transfer RNA, 86 nt
Filed under: Carboxydothermus islandicus
Lineage: Bacteria; Bacillati; Bacillota; Clostridia; Thermoanaerobacterales; Thermoanaerobacteraceae
Description: tRNA-Leu
Rfam family: tRNA
About the family: Transfer RNA (tRNA) molecules are approximately 80 nucleotides in length. Their secondary structure includes four short double-helical elements and three loops (D, anti-codon, and T loops).
Source: RNAcentral
GCGGCAGUGGCGGAACGGCAGACGCGCUAGACUCAGGAUCUAGUGGGUUUAUGCCCGUGGAGGUUCAAAUCCUCUCUGCCGCACCA